UUGUAAUGUAAUUCCUACAACAUUAAUGCAUUGGAUCCCAUUAGAACUCCGUAGUUAUACACACUUGGGCUAGAUUAGCACUGGGAUGGGUGACCUCCCAAGAAGUCCUAGUGUUUUACAUG
Molecule: non-coding RNA, 122 nt
Organism: Picea glauca (white spruce)
Lineage: Eukaryota; Viridiplantae; Streptophyta; Pinopsida; Pinales; Pinaceae
Source: Rfam